GACGAACGCUGGCGGCGUGCCUAAUACAUGCAAGUAGAACGCUGAAGGAGGAGCUUGCUUCUCUGGAUGAGUUGCGAACGGGUGAGUAACGCGUAGGUAACCUGCCUGGUAGCGGGGGAUAACUAUUGGAAACGAUAGCUAAUACCGCAUAAGAGUAGAUGUUGCAUGACAUUUGCUUAAAAGGUGCAAUUGCAUCACUACCAGAUGGACCUGCGUUGUAUUAGCUAGUUGGUGGGGUAACGGCUCACCAAGGCGACGAUACAUAGCCGACCUGAGAGGGUGAUCGGCCACACUGGGACUGAGACACGGCCCAGACUCCUACGGGAGGCAGCAGUAGGGAAUCUUCGGCAAUGGACGGAAGUCCGACCGAGCAACGCCGCGUGAGUGAAGAAGGUUUUCGGAUCGUAAAGCUCUGUUGUAAGAGAAGAACGAGUGUGAGAGUGGAAAGUUCACACUGUGACGGUAUCUUACCAGAAAGGGACGGCUAACUACGUG
RNAcentral lists this ribosomal RNA (495 nucleotides) under uncultured bacterium. RNAcentral describes it as "partial 16S ribosomal RNA". It matches the Rfam family "Bacterial small subunit ribosomal RNA", at positions 28 to 507 of the family's 1533-position model. The record is from RNAcentral.